UUUCAAACAACAUUGGUAGAUUACCAGUGGCAAGUUGGCUGGCCAUCAUAGAAGCCAAUGCUGGAUUGACAGGAUAUCCACUUAACCCAUAGUUUGAAAGAGAUGAGUUUGCAUUAUCUACAUGCUGAUACUGCAGAGGUAAGCCACCUCCACUAUUAACAGUGUUGGUCGGUGAUCCUUUCACGUAAGAAUUACCAGAAGGAAAACCAGAUUUCUGCAGCUCAACCUGCCUAUCAACUAUCAAGGAUGAAUUGUUCAGGUCUGACCCACUACCAUUGCUUUUAGCCAAAUCAGAGUAGGAAAUCUUUGCUGAUUGAGCAAGAGAAGGCAUAUGUAAAUGUCUAGAUUCAGCCUUCUUUAGGUAUGCAUUUUGCUUCACAUGAUUCUGACCUCCUUUGAGACCAAAGAUAUCAACAUCCUCUUGGUUUUCUUCAUCA
Molecule: unclassified non-coding RNA, 437 nt
Filed under: Hevea brasiliensis (rubber tree)
Lineage: Eukaryota; Viridiplantae; Streptophyta; Magnoliopsida; Malpighiales; Euphorbiaceae
Source: RNAcentral